RNAcentral lists this ribosomal RNA (500 nucleotides) under uncultured bacterium. RNAcentral describes it as "partial 16S ribosomal RNA". It matches the Rfam family "Bacterial small subunit ribosomal RNA", at positions 30 to 523 of the family's 1533-position model. The record is from RNAcentral.
AUUGAACGCUGACGGAAUGCUUUACACAUGCAAGUCGAACGGCAGCACGGACUUCGGUCUGGUGGCGAGUGGCGAACGGGUGAGUAAUGUAUCGGAACGUGCCCAGUCGUGGGGGAUAACGUAGUGAAAAUUACGCUAAUACCGCAUACGAUCUAUGGAUGAAAGCGGGGGAUCGCAAGACCUCGCGCGAUUGGAGCGGCCGAUAUCAGAUUAGGUAGUUGGUGGGGUAAAGGCCCACCAAGCCAACGAUCUGUAGCUGGUCUGAGAGGACGACCAGCCACACUGGAACUGAGACACGGUCCAGACUCCUACGGGAGGCAGCAGUGGGGAAUUUUGGACAAUGGGUGAAAGCCUGAUCCAGCCAUUCCGCGUGCAGGAUGAAGGCCCUCGGGUUGUAAACUGCUUUUGUACAGAACGAAAAGGUUUCUACUAAUACUAGGAGCUCAUGACGGUACUGUAAGAAUAGGCACCGGCUAACUACGUGCCAGCCGCCGAAGUAA